GAUCCUGGCUCAGGAUGAAUGCUAGCUACAGGCUUAACACAUGCAAGUCGAGGGGAAACGACAGAGGAAGCUUGCUUCCUUUGGGCGUCGACCGGCGCACGGGUGAGUAACGCGUAUCCAACCUUCCCGCAAGUAAGGGAUAACCCGUAGAAAUGCGGCCUAAUACCUUAUGUUUUCCUUAGAGGGCAUCUGAUGAGGAACAAGGAUCCGUCGCUUGCGGAUGGGGAUGCGUCUGAUUAGUUAGUCGG
This 248-nucleotide ribosomal RNA is filed under the name uncultured bacterium. RNAcentral's name for it is "partial 16S ribosomal RNA". It matches the Rfam family "Bacterial small subunit ribosomal RNA", at positions 15 to 252 of the family's 1533-position model. The record is from RNAcentral.